Molecule: ribosomal RNA, 450 nt
Filed under: uncultured bacterium
Lineage: Bacteria
Description: partial 16S ribosomal RNA
Rfam family: Bacterial small subunit ribosomal RNA
Source: RNAcentral
CCUACGGGUGGCUGCAGUAAGGAAUAUUGGUCAAUGGACGAAAGUCUGAACCAGCCAUGCCGCGUGAAGGAUGAAGGUCCUCUGGAUUGUAAACUUCUUUUAUCUGGGACGAAAAAAGGGAAUUCUUUCUCACUUGACGGUACCAGAAGAAUAAGCACCGGCUAACUCCGUGCCAGUAGCCGCGGUAAUACGGAGGGUGCAAGCGUUACCGGGAUUAAAUGGGGCUAAAGGGGGCGGAGGUGGGAGGUGAGAAAUCUCCGGGCUUAACCCGGAAACUGCCAUUGAUACUAUCUGUCUUGAAUACUCUGGAGGUAAGCGGAAUAUGUCAUGUAGCGGUGAAAUGCUUAGAUAUGACAUAGAACACCGAUUGCGAAGGCAGCUUACUACGGAGUCAUUGACACUGAGGCACGAAAGCGUGGGGAUCAAACAGGAUUAGAUACCCCAGUAGUC